Long non-coding RNA from Thunnus maccoyii (southern bluefin tuna), 2555 nucleotides. RefSeq lists it as uncharacterized. Lineage: Eukaryota; Metazoa; Chordata; Actinopteri; Scombriformes; Scombridae. The record is from RefSeq and is a predicted model, not a curated record. The transcript has 5 exons.
GAAGCGCAAAUAUCCAACUAUAGGAACAAGAAGAAAAACACAUUCCCAGAAUCCUUUACAACCACAGUUGGAUCUGCUGGCCACUGAGCGGCUCUAUAGAAGCUCUUGGGGGUUAAGCGCCUUGCUCAAGGGCAUGUCAGUGGUGGUGAUGAGAGGUGGGCAAGAGCUGCUAUUUCACUUUCCCCCUCCAGUUUUAUCCUGCCUGUCCAGUGGGCAUUACAGUACAUUACAUUUCAUUUCAGAGGCUUUAAGAGACAUGAUGGUAGUAAUAAGUAAAUCAGGACAUGCAUAGAUACUGUAGCAGCAGCAGGGAAAGCAGCUGCACAUAAUGAAUAGUGACUCUGACAGCCUAAAUAGCCUGCCCAAUAGGUGUUGACAAUAUAUAAGCUCAGCUAAAGCAUCAGCUGAGUUUUCUGCCUGAACUAGCACACAGGCUUCGCAUCAUUAAUAUUCAGUGAACAACACUUGAAUGCCAACUAUCAUUCUAGAAGAUAAGGUAUUACAUUAGUCAAAUAGUGGAUGAAUGAUGUUAUGGAUUAAAUUUUUUGCAAUAAGUGCUUCACACUGCAAGAAAUAUCAACAGCAGCAGAUUUAAACUUUCUACAAUUCCAGGAAGAGUGUGCUCCUCUGCUGUUUUCCUUCUUGCAUCUCCAACGCUGCUGUUGAUAUUCUUUCCAGGCAACGGCAAACCACCAAGCACCUCCAAAACCUUUGAAAAAUGCAUGACUGAAACAUCAUUCACUUCGAUCCUCAAUUCCUAGCCAACACUACAUACCUCCUCUCUGCGUUACUACAGUGCUGGAAACUGUGGAAAUUAAAGUGAGAGAGUGCUGGCUUAUGGCUUAUGCUACAGCCACUGAUGUCGAAUGUACUGCAAUACCAGACACCCUUCACUUUAUUAACCAAGGGGACAUAAUGAAACUGAGAGCAUGAAUGACAUCCAUUUAAGGUCAAGUGUUCGUGGGACUUCAGGACCUCAUAAGUCGUUUGGCUGCAUUCUUUGAAAGCUGCUACAAUUUCAAUCUGCUGUAUGCCAAACAUGCCUCGUGCACUUGGAAUUUCACCAAAGCCUCAUCGCUUCGUAUCCGUCAGUAUCCCACUGCUUGCCUGGCCUCCAAACUUUCAGUGUCAUGCGUAAUGAGUGCACAGGCAGAUAGGCAGGUAGGUAGGUUGACAGGCAGAUAGCCUGUCCAAUCAUUUCAUUCGGCCUGAAUGAAAUGAUUGGAUGGACUUAUUACAGGCCUGUGCCAGCCAUAGAUACUGGAUUUUUAUAUUUUUUUGAAUUUCAACAAAUAUAACAAAAAAUGCUUCUAAAAUACAUUACCUAGCCUAGCUUUGAUCGACCUGCAGGCAACCUGCUGUUUUUUGUGUUGAGGUUUUAGAUUUAACACUUGUACCUCUUAGCUAAAAUAAAAUUCCCAAUGAAAAUGGAUCAUCACUGUUACAGUAAACUCCAAUUUAUAUCAAAUACAGAUGUCAAGUAUGUUUAUAUCAACUCGGACCUUAGACAGUAAUAGUCAUUCUGCGUUUUUCAUAUUCUUUUUCAUCCCACAUCCCUUUUUUCUCUUGUAGAUAAACAUAAUCUCUAUAGCACCCUCUUCCCUUUCCAAAGUAACCAGGAGACAGGUCACUCAGAGUAGUAUGAACUAUGUACUUGUGUCACAUUUUUGGUUUGUGUAUUUCUCUUAUUUUGGUGUAAAAUUAACUUUUAUUUUUGGUGUAAGAAUUCUGUUUAUUCAUUUUAAAUGUAUUGGUGUUGUAUCCUAUCCAGGCCAGUAGAGGGCAGUAGCAGAGCAUUUGUAACUUAGGGAUCACCUUUGCACAGGGACUGCUAGCUUUUCGUCAUUCCGCCAAGAAAGUCCGGUCUGAUAACAACAAACACUUCUCUCACAUCAUUUCUCCUGUUUGAUGUUACAGCCCGCUGAACGUUAGAAAAAUAAAUAGUAAUGAUGUUAGGUAAAAGUCUCAGUAGUAAAACAUCACUUUUAUGUGCUUGUAAACGCUUUAAAUGCAUGAGUAAACUGUAGUGUAGCCCACACUAAUAACAGUAGAAGGCUAGCAUGACGCUAACGCUAAUAUCGCGACAGAUGGUACAGUUUUUCUGUAGUGAAUUCCCGCUUCUGUCCCUGCUUUUGGCACUGUAAGAAGCUCCUGUUUUUUAUAUGCUAUUGUAAUGUGUUAUAUAUGUUAUUGCAAUGUGUUGAAAUAUGGUUGUUUGUUAGGGUUCUCUCAGGCAACAGUCAGUAUAUGUCUCUCUUUGUAAUUAUUUCAUGCUAAAAAUGGUAACGAUAAAUUAAAGAAGUGUUGAUAUAUGUGUAGAUUACUGAUGAUGAUAAAAUGCUAUGCACAAUAGGUUAUCAUCCCUGAAAGAAGUAUGACUGAAGUUAAAAGUCAGUUUUCAUUGCAUACAUGUUUUAAGGUGUUCAUGUGAACUUAUUUGGUAUGAAGAUACAUGAAUUGAACAGAGUAUAUUUCUCUUAGUGGUAGAAGAGUGGUUUGAUCUGUGAAAAUGGAGAUAUAAGACAUGGAUAUGGAAUAUGUUGCUAAUAAAUUCU